This is a non-coding RNA of Loxodonta africana (African savanna elephant), 47 nucleotides long. The record is from Rfam. Lineage: Eukaryota; Metazoa; Chordata; Mammalia; Proboscidea; Elephantidae.
UUUCAGGUUUUUUUCAAAACCACCACGCAGUUUUCCACAAUGACUGU